RNAcentral lists this ribosomal RNA (253 nucleotides) under uncultured bacterium. Its description in RNAcentral is "partial 16S ribosomal RNA". It matches the Rfam family "Bacterial small subunit ribosomal RNA", at positions 524 to 776 of the family's 1533-position model. The record is from RNAcentral.
UACAGAGGUCCCAAGCGUUGUUCGGAUUCACUGGGCGUAAAGGGUGCGUAGGUGGCCAGGUAAGUUUGGUGUGAAAGCUCGGAGCUUAACUCCGAAAAGUCAUUGAAUACUAUCUGGCUGGAGGGUCGGAGGGGAGACUGGAAUUCUCGGUGUAGCAGUGAAAUGCGUAGAUAUCGAGAGAAACACCAGUGGCGAAGGCGAGUCUCUGGACGACUCCUGACACUGAGGCACGAAAGCUAGGGGAGCAAACAGG